UCGAGAAAAACAAAACAAACCUCCCUCGAACCCUCGGUCUUCCCUAUCGCGUCGGCCGCACGCCGCCCUCCACCGUGCCGCGUCUGCCGCACGCAUCGCACCACGGAGCUGAACGCCGCCGCCGCUCGCAUCACGCUAUAGAUCCGGCCCCCACCGCCGCGCCUCUGUCCGUCGCUGGAGCUCCGCACGCCAGAGGGACACACCGCCCUGUCGGGAUUGUUUCGCCACUGCGGGGGCCCCGGCACCCCAACAUCCGAGUGCCGCCGCCGUCCUCGCCUCGGGUGCUCCGCCACCACCGCCUCGGCUCUGCCGCUGCGCGAAUCCGCUCUUCCCUCGAGCGGAUCGGGGCCGGACGGCGGCGAAUGGAGCUCCGAGCUCCGGUGUCACGGGCCCUCCCCAGCGUCAUGGAUAUCAGCCGCGAGCAACAGGCGGCGGCCUAGCUCAAAGCUCGGAGGCGGGGUGGCCGGGCGGCGGCGAGCAGCGGGGCAGCGGCGCAGCGGGGCUCCGAUAGGCGUGGCCCGCGGCAUGGUCCCUCGCCGGUGGGACCAAGUGGUUGGCACCCCGGCCGCGCGUCCUCGCAGCGCUCCCUCGCCAGCGCUCCCGCGCUCCGGAUCUCGCCCUCCCCGCAGUGGCGGCGGCGUUAUCCGCUUCCUCCCUGGCCGGCUGGGGUCCAUGGCAUCCGUGGCCAGCGAGGCCCUCCUCCCUACCCCCUCCUUGACCGGCGCGGCCCUCCUCCCUCCCCCUCCCUGGGCGGCGUGGGUCCAUGGCCGGCGCGCCCUCCUCCGGCCAUGCACGGCCGCCAGCUCGCCUCGCGAUUUGCUUGGCUGCCGGCCUGACGUGCACCUUCUUGAUGAGUGACUGAGUUUGCCUGCCCUCGCUGCCUCUUGGUCCCAGUUAGGGACAACAAUAUUGUUUCUGAUUAGUUCUAGCUGAAAUUUGUAUUGUUCCAUGAAAUGAUUAUAAGUACUCUUACGAUUGUUAAUAAGUCAGGCAACCAACUAAUUGGUCUCAGCUGGGACAAUGAUAUUGUUUCUGAUUAGUUCUAGCUGAAAUUGGUAUUGUUCCAGAAGUGAUUGGAAGCACUUAAUUAUCACUAUAUGGUGUUAAACUUUCAAGGCAGCAUAUAACAGCUAGCAUAGCAGUCCUCCAGAUAUAUGCAUCAUGAUAAUCUAGCAUUUAAAUAAUAAAAGGAAAGCACAAUGCAAUUUUUGUUUCUCUCUCAUGAUUGCACUUGUAUUCAUAUAUUUAUACCUACCCUGUUAUAAUUACCUUAUAUAUAUAUCCCCACAUUCAAACUCUUAUGGAUUAUUUGACAUUUUUCAUGUCUAUCGUUCCAGCCAAUGAUUGUUUUCUUCAAUACGGUGAAAUUUGGGGUAACAUAGACCCUUGGCAACUUGAUGGCCCUUGGAAGAGGCUAAAAUUGCUCGAUGCUGUCACAGCUGGUGACCAUCUUAAUAUGGACAUUCUUUGUGUUAGACGAGAAGGAAAUUUUACUCUGUGGAUGUGUUUGUGUAAUCAACAUAAUAACUCUAUCCUUUGUGUAAAACAUAUAUUUCUCAGUUUGGACUAUGGAUCAUGGGAUCAUGUGUUGUUUGGUGUACGUCUGAAAUUUACUCGUGGCGCUAGCAAGGGCACCUUACUAGUCUUAUGUAAGUGAGAAUAGUUCCGCGAUCCUGGGAGCAAAGGAUGGCCGCACUGUUGAUAGCCUCACUAAAGUAAUUGUAGACAAGAACAGCGAGUAUAGAAAGAGUGCAGCCGAUAUCCUGAAGAAUCUGUGCAGUCAUUACACCACGAAUGAAGACAUUCAUUUCCAAAAGCUGAAGAACGCAAUGAUCGAUGAUGUGAUUCCAAAGGUGCUGAGGGAAGUGCUUGACUGUAGGCCGAUAGCAGAGCCCAGGCUACCCUCUCCCAAUCCAAUAUACUACUCAGGCUACCAGUACCCUAUGUACUCAGUAAAUAAUUACAAUUACACAUACAACUUUGGCCCAUCCCAGUACUCCAUGCCCUUGGACAGUCCAUACAAAGUGGAAGAGCAGGAGGCACUGUCAUCGCUUUGCGUAGCCGUACACGCUAGACUGAUCAGCCAAGAUCCUGAUUUGGCCUCUCGGUUCGACCAAAUAGGUAAGGAGAUCGGCCGGGACAUGGGGGAGGACAUGGUUGUGGCGAGCAAAAGAAGGUGCUGGGGGACAGCGGCUUCGCCGAUGAUUUUGUACGAAAGCCCCAACGGCGCGUGUUGUAUCUCGUGACUAUGUGCGUACGAGUACAUCUUGUUACAAUUCCCUAGCUCGUGUCAGCUAGCAUGCCUGGACUUGUCGUGUUCUUGAGACGUCAUGUCUUGAGUUGUUUGCGUCUAAUGGAUGAUUAUCUCGAUUUAUAAUUGGUUUUCAGUGAA
This is a long non-coding RNA of Panicum virgatum (switchgrass), 2392 nucleotides long. RefSeq lists it as uncharacterized. The transcript is spliced from 3 exons. NCBI's taxonomy places the organism in Eukaryota, Viridiplantae, Streptophyta, Magnoliopsida, Poales, Poaceae. The record is from RefSeq and is a predicted model, not a curated record.